This 447-nucleotide ribosomal RNA is filed under the name uncultured bacterium. Its description in RNAcentral is "bacterial SSU rRNA". It matches the Rfam family "Bacterial small subunit ribosomal RNA", at positions 355 to 825 of the family's 1533-position model. The record is from RNAcentral.
UCGGGAAUUUUGGGCAAUGGGCGAAAGCCUGACCCAGCAACGCCGCGUGGAUGAUGAAGGCCUUAGGGUUGUAAAAUCCUUUCGUUGGGGACGAUAAUGACGGUACCCAAAGAAGAAGCUCCGGCUAACUUCGUGCCAGCAGCCGCGGUAAUACGAAGGGGGCUAGCGUUGUUCGGAUUUACUGGGCGUAAAGCGCGUGUAGGCGGAUUUGUAAGUUGGGGGUGAAAUCCCGAGGCUCAACCUCGGAACUGCCUCCAAAACUACAAGUCUGGACCUAAGUAGAGGCAAGUGGAAUUGCGAGUGUAGAGGUGAAAUUCGUAGAUAUUCGCAGGAACACCAGUGGCGAAGGCGACUUGCUGGACUUAUGGUGACGCUGAGACGCGAAAGCGUGGGGAGCAAACAGGAUUAGAUACCCCAGUAGUCCCUGAGCGGGCUGGCAAGGCGCAU